GAUGAAGAACGUAGCGAAAUGCGAUACGUAAUGUGAAUUGCAGAAUUCAGUGAAUCAUCGAAUCUUUGAACGCAUAUUGCGCUCUUUGGUAUUCCGAAGAGCAUGCUUGUUUGAGUAUCAGUAAACACCUCAAAGCUUUUGGAUUUUUUAAUCGAAAAGCUUUGGACUUGAGCAAUCCCAACACCAAUCUUUUUGAGAUCGGUGGCGGGUUGCUUGAAAUGCAGGUGCAGCUGGACAUUCUCCUGAGCUAAAAGCAUAUUCAUUUAGUCCCGUCAAACGGAUUAUUACUUUUGCUGCAGCUAACAUAAAGGGAGUUUGACCGUAUUGGCUGACUGAUGCAGGAUUUCACAAGGGUCGGCAACGAUUCUUGUUAAACUCGAUCUCAAAUCAAGUAAGACUACCCGCUGAACUUAAGCAUAUCAAUAAGCGGAGGG
RNAcentral lists this unclassified non-coding RNA (434 nucleotides) under soil metagenome. Its description in RNAcentral is "partial contains 5.8S ribosomal RNA, internal transcribed spacer 2, and large subunit ribosomal RNA". The stretch from base 1 to 120 matches the Rfam family "5.8S ribosomal RNA", at positions 35 to 154 of the family's 154-position model. The record is from RNAcentral.